Long non-coding RNA from Dermacentor silvarum, 322 nucleotides. RefSeq lists it as uncharacterized. The transcript is spliced from 3 exons. The record is from RefSeq and is a predicted model, not a curated record. NCBI's taxonomy places the organism in Eukaryota, Metazoa, Arthropoda, Arachnida, Ixodida, Ixodidae.
GGGUGUUCGGCGUGUGUUUGGCGUUUCCUUUUCCUACGUUGUCCGCGCCCUUUGUCUCACCGUGACCUGGUAUAUUCCCACUUGUUGCUCGCUUUUUACGGGCUUCUUGUUGCCUCGAAGAUCAUCAUGAUUGCCUCCGACGCAGCCACAUCAAAGAUUCAGAGGCCACAGCCGGAACGGGAAAGGUUCACAUAGGUUGGAGGAAUGCUCGUUGAUAAGAAGAUCCUGGCACAGUUUACCAUGGCCUGCCAUGGUGGACCAGGCAAGCUUGCAAGCGUCUUGCUUCACCGUGCGUUCACAGAGGAAGACCUCAUGGGCCACU